This 1408-nucleotide long non-coding RNA is filed under the name Marmota monax (woodchuck). The record is from RNAcentral. Lineage: Eukaryota; Metazoa; Chordata; Mammalia; Rodentia; Sciuridae.
UAGGUUGUUUUUUUUUUUUUUUUUGUGUGUGUGUGUGUGAAGAUAUAUAUACUAGGUAUUAGAAAAAACGAAGAACUAAAAUUUAGAAAUAGUGUUCUGCGCUUGGUGUAAGUCCAGAGGUGUCAGUCCAGUAGUCAUUUGCUUGAAGGCAAAGUUGAAACCAAGCUCUUUCAGGAAAAUAUAGGGAUCAAUGAAGACUGAGAACUAAGAGCAAGCCCUCAGGCUCAAUUUGUGUAUAGAAAGCAGAGAAACCAAUGAGAAUAAAAGGGAGUAAAAGGAGAGAUAUGGGCAUUAUUAUCACUUAAGCUAAGGGGAAAAAAAGUGGUUAAAAACUGAAGAAAGUUUCUAAAGGGUCAAAGAAAUUUAGCACUGAAAGAAAUGUAUGUUGAUGGUGAAGAAUUUUUUUUUAAUCAUUGGAAUUUCAGUAGUUUUCAGAUGCAAGUAUGAAAUUGUAAUGAGUAACUGAUUGCCAAUUAUAAAAUAUUUUCUCUAAAAAUUUUGGGCAAAGGAAAUAUAAAGCCUUAAUUGCAGGAAAUAGAAUAAAUAGAAGAUGUUUUUAAAAAUGAGGUGAUACUAAGUUCAACUUAUAUUUAAUCUGCAGAAAAUAUUUUAAGAAGAUAAAAAGUGAAAAUUUUAUAAUGAGGGGAAAAAUGAAGAAAACCACUACUAAAAACGUAUGAAUGCAAAACAACACAUACACAACAAACCUUAAAGUGCUGUCAGAAUUUUUUUUGAGUUAUAGAGAUUUAAAAAACUAUUUUAGUAACAUUUUGUUACUUUAUGAAUCAGUUUGUUGAUUCUGCUGUAAGCAAUGUUCUUUUGGUUAUUCUUUGAUAAUUGAAAAAUUUAUAGCACUAUUCAUAAAUUUUGAGAAGAAAAAAUGUAAAUCUAUUAGGAUAGAUAUUUAUUCAGCAAUAUUUUAAAUAUAAUAUUUCAUUGUACUUAUUAAUGAACACAGAAUAUUAUGAAAACUGAAAAUAAUCAUCCUAUAAGUGUUCACAUAAUGAUUUCUCUAAGAAUUACCACUCUUAUUUUUAGUAAAUCAUGGAUGUAGAAAUUCAAGAAGAAUGUUUAUUUUGAAAGAAACCAAUUGAAUAAUGUAAUUAUUGCUUAUACCUUAUAAAACAUUAAAAACUAUUGAGAAGGGUCUUGUUUAUCCCUAAUUGUGAGGUAAAAUGAUUUCUUGUCCUUUUUUUGUGGGUAUAGUUGGAUAAUACUUUUGUUUUAAAGAUAAGAAUAUAGAUGAUUAUAUGAAAUAAAAGUAAUUUUAGAAAUUUGAAGUGCUUAUUUAUCUAAAAACUUACGAUAGAGAAAUAUAUAUUUAUAUAUUAAUCUAUAUAAUAUUUUUAAAAUAUGGAGUGAUCUGGGAAAUAGCCAAUUUUAUCAGUUGGGAUCACAUUUUGUCUGC